GAGGAGCAGAGGGAGAGGUACAAGCAGCCUCUGCACUCUUGAGUGGGAAGCCCAUAGUGGGGUCUGACAUGGGUCAGUCUCACGACCCUGAGAUCAUGAUCUGAGUUGAAAUCAAGAGUUGGAUGCUUAACCACCUAAGCCACCCAGGUGCCCUGUUUUAAGUUAAAAAAAAAAAAAAGGCAAAUAAACAAACAAAACCUUUGUAAAAUAUUCUUGGAAUUUUCCAGUCUAUAAAUGGUUAAUGUAGAAAAAAAAAAAUCAGUGGUUAUUAGGUACAGUUUUCUUAUUGUAGCUUUAUUGAUUGGUAGUUUGAAAGUCUAAAAAAUAGAGAAAAAUUCUGAGUUUUUGUGUUUGGGGUCGAAUGUUAUGAUAUUAUCUCUCUUAAAAUAUGUUUUUCUUUAUCCAUAAUAUGGAGGAACCAAAAAAAUGCAUUAAAACUUGGAUGUGAACUUUUGCAAACGUGUGGAACAAAUUAAGAUGGCAGAGCAGAAGAAAAUGGAGCUGAAAUGAAAUCUACCUCUCAAAGCAGGCCUGUUUAUAUUUCACUAUAUUUGCUAUUAUAAAUUUAUUUCCAUCUAUUUCUUUGCUAGGAAUGAUAAAUGGCUGCCCACCAACUUCUGACUCUUAGGCAACUCUGUUUUACUAAUAAACUGUUCGUUUUGAUCCUGUAAAUGCUAUGCACAAGCCCCUAAAACAAGUGCACCAUUCCAGAUCCCCAUCAACCUAUUAUUAAGCUACUGUUUCUUCUACUGUGUCUUUGCUUGAUUCCAAACCCUUUCUUCUACACUUCACCUCAGGUUUGGCCUUUGGAUCUUUUUAUUUGAUGCUUAUUUUUGGCCUCCUGGCACUGGCCUCUGUGCUCAAUCUGAUGAUCUUUGGUUUAAACUCACCUUGUACUUCCAAGCUGCCAAGAUUUAUACCCUUUGAUUCUAGCAGUUGGAAUUCCUAGCACACCUACUGGCUGCUGCCUCAAGGAGACCAGUCCCAAAUACUAGCCUCAUAUUAUAAACAUCCAUUUAUUCAUCUGUUUAACAGAUUUCAUUCAUCAGUACUAUGUGUAAGCCACCAGAGUAGUUUCUGGAGGAAUAUAGAAGAUUACUAAGUGAUAGAAGGCUCUUAAAAUCUGGUAGGACAAAUAAACAAGUAUAUAGUGAUAAUUUAAGAUAGUAUGUGUUCAACUCUUACGAAGUAUUAUUAAAUUCAAGACAUCAAUUAGCAAAAACUUCAAAUAGAUUUCUUUUCUUCUUUUCUUUUUUUCUUCUUUCAGUAGGCUUCAUGCCCAGCAUGGAACCCAAUGAAGGCUUGAACUCACAACCCUGAGCUCAAGACUGAGCUGAGAUCAAGAGUCAGACCCUUUACUGACUGAGCAACCCCAGCACUCAAAAGCUUCAAAUAGAAAGAUUCUAACCAGGGAGUUAGGGAUAUAGGGUUCAAGGGAACAUUACAAAAAGAACUUGAGGUGGUGGGUCAUGGACUUAAAAAGAUUGAGAAUACUGACAGGUUAAGUUAACAGACUUGAAGGUAGAGUAGGAUAAAUACCAUGGGAGAAAGGCAUUCCAAAAAGUAGAACCAAAGCAAUCGGAACAGAAAAAGAAAGUUAUGUUUAAAAAAGUCUUAGCUAGAUUGGUUGAGGGUAUAAGUAGAAAUGGAAGAAAGCCUAAAGAACCUGGUUGGAACCAGAGUAUGGAAGGUUUUGAGUACGGAGAAUUUAGAAUUGGCAAACAUAUACUGAGGAGUCAGAAGGUUUUUAGCAAGAAAUGAUAACUGGCUUGAUUUAACAGUGGUAUGGAGGAAGGAGUUGGUAGUGAGGAUUUUUUUUUGUUUGCAUCAAGUUUUUUGUUUUUUGUUUUUUAAAGGUAGGCAGAGACUGCAGACCAGGAAAUCAAUUAGGAGACUAUAACAGUAAUCUAAAGUAGGGAGGACCUAGAGAUAAAGACUUUAUUAAUUUCAUUAAGCUCCUGCGGCACCCGGGUGGCUCAGUGGGUUAAGCCUCCACCUUUGGCUCAAGUCAAGAUCUCAGGAUCCUGGGAUUGAGCCCUGCAUUGGGCUAUCCGCUCAGCGAGGAGUCUGCUCCCCUCCCGCCCCCACUGCUCUGCCUACUUGUGAUGUGUGUCAAAUAAAUAAGUAAAGUCUAAAAAAAAAAAUUCAUUAAGCUCCUGCUAUGACAGAGCUGCUGGUGAUGCAGUGAGGGCUAGGUCCUUGUCAGGUGGGGCUUUUCAAUCUAGUGAGACAUUGAUCUCUUAAAGGCUCCUAGAGGUGUGUCUAUUUUGCAACCACUUCUGACAUUUGCCUGGUUACUAAGCAAUAGGUCCUCAUUUAACAAUGAGAUGUAUUUCCUACCUUCUAAAACUACUUUACAUUUUAUGAGUCUGUUAAGGAAAAAGUAUCCCAUCCACUUGCACGUGAAGAAAAGCAAUUUAUUACUUAAAACAAGAUAAGACAGGAACACUACCAGACAAGGCAAAGAAGAAAAUGACAUGUGUUUUAAAGAGAUAACUGAAGACGAUGUGGAGAAUGAAUUGGAGGUUAGAUUAGGGGCAAGAAAACCUAAGAGGUUGUUGUAGUAAUCCACCUACUUGAUUGUGAGGGCCUAAACAAAGACAGAAUGAAAGAAGAGCAAUUGGUGGUGGUUAUUUCCACCGUAAUCCUUUCCAUCCCUGCCCUGGUUCAACUAAAAGAUGGGUAGGGGACUCUCAUUUGGAAUUAAAUUUUUUUUUUUUUUUUGGUCGGGGAGAGAAAGGGGAGGGACAGAGGGAGAAGGAAAGAGAGCCUCAAGCAGACUCCUUGCUGAGUGUGGAGCUAGAUACCUGGUUUGAUCCCAGGACCAUGAAAUCGUGACCAGCCAAAAUCAAGAGUGGGAUGCUCAACUGACAGAGCCACCAGAUGUCCUUGGAAUUGAAUCUUGAACAGAGGGACUCAAGAAGACAAGAAACACUGUCUACUUUUUCAGAUAUAGAGGUGACCAUGCUUUGGGAUUUUCAUAGUUUGAGUUAAUUCCUCUGGGCUCCGCCACCCAACAAGUUAAACAGGACAAGAUUCCUCCCAGAGAAUUGUGGUUCUGGGAAUGUGAGCAGCUUGUUUUCAGGAGAUCUGCACCCUGACCUGGCCUACUGUUAGGAGCUGUCGUGUUGUUCUUAGUUGUUUUUUUCUGUCUUACAUAGUUAUUUGUAUAUAAACAUUUUUGCAAAGUAAAUGUUUUACGGGGAUAUUUUGCUUACACAAAGAAAAAUUAAAACUAUCUUGAAGUAAUUA
Long non-coding RNA from Lutra lutra (Eurasian river otter), 3252 nucleotides. RefSeq lists it as uncharacterized. The transcript has 2 exons. The record is from RefSeq and is a predicted model, not a curated record. NCBI's taxonomy places the organism in Eukaryota, Metazoa, Chordata, Mammalia, Carnivora, Mustelidae.